CCCUCCUCUGGUCAUUGUUGGUCUUGUGGCCUAUGUGAAGACCCCUUGUGGCCUUCGCACUCUCAACUCUGUCUGGGCUCAGCACCUUAGCGAAGAUGUGAGGAGAAGGUUCUACAAGAACUGGUGCAAGAGCAAGAAGAAGGCGUUCACAAAGUAUGCCCUCAAGUAUGACUGUGAUGCGGGCAAGAAGGAAAUCCAGUUGCAGCUUGAGAAAAUGAAGAAGUAUGCCACUAUUGUCCGUGUUAUUGCCCAUACUCAGGUGUGAUGGCCAUUUCCCUGUUCAUCUUGGUCAGUAUUCUGUUUAUUGUAAAAUAUUUAACUCACCAUUGCUAUGCCAUUUUUCUGAAUAUCAGAUUAGGAAGAUGAAAGGCUUGAAACAGAAGAAGGCUCACCUCAUGGAGAUCCAGAUUAAUGGUGGCACCAUCGCAGACAAGGUUGACUAUGGCUACAAGUUCUUUGAGAAGGAAGUCCCAGUUGAAGCGGUCUUCCAGAAAGAUGAAAUGGUUGACAUCAUUGGUGUCACCAAGGGUAAGGGGUACGAAGGUGUCGUCACUCGCUGGGGUGUGACCCGCCUUCCCCGCAAGACCCACAGGGGUCUCCGAAAGGUUGCCUGUAUCGGUGCCUGGCAUCCUGCUAGGGUUUCCUACACUGUUGCUCGUGCUGGUCAGAAUGGUUACCACCACCGCACAGAGAUGAACAAAAAGAUUUACAAGAUGGGCAAGUCUGGACAGGAGUCUCACGAGGCCUGCACUGAGUUUGACAGGUAUCUUUGAGUGAAUCUGACUACGUGCAUGCUAUCAUCUGUUGUGCUCUUGAACAUUUUCCAUGAAACUGACGGCCAUGGUGGUGCUUGCAGGACUGAGAAGGACAUCACCCCGAUGGGUGGCUUCCCUCACUAUGGUGUGGUGAAGGGUGACUACCUCAUGAUCAAGGGCUGCUGUGUGGGCCCCAAGAAGAGAGUGGUGACCCUCCGCCAGUCCCUGUUGAAGCAGACAUCGCGGUUGGCCCUUGAGGAGAUCAAGCUCAAGUUCAUUGACACCUCAUCCAAGUUCGGGCAUGGCCGGUUCCAGACCACUGACGAGAAGCAGAAGUUCUACGGCAGGCUCAAGGCUUAGGCUGCGACAGAUCUUAUCCCAUAGUGUUACCAGCUUUUUUUCUUGCUUUGUGGCAGAUUGUUUGGGUAUCGGUUUAUGCAUUGCAAUUGCAACUCUGAGCUGCUGCGAAUGUUCGAACUGAUGAGGUUUAUGCAUUUUGAACUUUAUAGUAAUGCUAUUUGCAUGCCUUCAAAUUUGGAAGCUAAUGUUUCAGCUGCUGUAGCCUCUAAGUGGACAAUCGUGUUGCGUGUUUGUAGUCACGAUCUGGUAUCAAUCCUAUUCAUGAUCAGGGUCAUGGCGCAUAGAAUGAAGGAAAAUUUGGUUCAGAAAAAAUUG
RNAcentral lists this long non-coding RNA (1430 nucleotides) under Triticum aestivum (bread wheat). RNAcentral describes it as "long non-coding RNA (TAES_LNC005369)". The record is from RNAcentral. Lineage: Eukaryota; Viridiplantae; Streptophyta; Magnoliopsida; Poales; Poaceae.